UGAAAUGUAAAUUUGUCUUGAUUGAAACCUCAGGAGUACAAAUUACUUCAAAAGUCUAAAGUCCUUUUGAGACAGAUAAGACAUUUGUAUGUACAAAUGUGAAACAAUUCCUUGUCUAUUGAAUUGCACAUCACCAAUGUAUGUUACUCUUAUACUCACAAUCAAGUAUCAUAUAAAAAAAAAAUAACAUCCAUUUCUUCUUAUGCUUCAAAUCAUAUAGUUUCAUCUCUUUUUGUCUCUUAUCUAACCCUUGAAAUCAUAAGCUAAGUGAAGAAGUGCAAGAAUCUCAUCCAUACAUCUCAUAGGAGAGCUCAUCAUUUCACUGCAUCAGAAGCAGCACGUUACAAUGGCCAAAAAAGUAAAGAUAGCAGUUUCAUAAUAGCAACCAAUAAUUUCAUAUUUGAAGAGUAAUCAGAGAUCAAGUAAUGGUAAAAUUGUACAAAAAUCAAAUCUUGAUACAAAACCCACAACAAUUAUGUAAUUCCCAAGACAGAUCUACAAUCAAAGAGUACAAAUAACCCAAAAAAAGAAUUUGGUACCUAAAGGCCACAUACCUAUAAACUACAAGAACCCAAAAAAGAACAGAGCUUGAAAGAAAGAACAGGAAUAAGAAAAGCACCUAAUUUUACAAGCAUGAGAAGGGCUUAGCUUUGGUAGUCAAAAAGAGGGCUUGAGAAAGAGAACUCUCUCUCUCACUCUCACUCUCACUCUCACUCUCACUCUCACUCUCAUGACCUGUUCCCUUCCUGUUGGUUUUGCACCUCUGACAACAACGAACAAGUGGAGGGGAGAGAGAGAAAGAGAGAUGUUUCAUGUAAUAUAAAAAUAUGCAAGAACCCUCAUUCAUGCACUAAUCUCUAGGUUCAACUUCAUGUCCUCUUUGCAUCAAGCUCUGUGCUAAGAAAAAAAUGAAAUAAAACAAAAUAAAGAAUCUUUGCAUCAAGCUCUAAGACACAGAAAAGAAAAAAGAUCUUAGAUAAACAAUAAUCACAUUGGUUAGAGUAAAUGCAAUCUUCCCUUCAUCAACUAGGAUCAACAAAUUAGAGAAAAUGCAACAAUGGAAAACCAUAUUUAUCUACACAAGUAGAUUGCAUGCCCAGGCCCAUUAAAAAAUAUACUCACCCCUAAGAUGGCCAAGCCCCCAGGCCAAUAUGUAGGAGAGAAAUGAGGCAGUAGGAAAAGGCCAAAAAUAAUAUACUAAAGUGACUGGUCAAUAUUGAUUUAUUUUUCUGUGAAAAAACUUAGCGAUAAGUAUCUCUACUUAUAAAAAGGAACAUACAAACUGAAAAUUGAAGGCUUAAAUCACUAAUUCUCAUCCAACCAUUUGUCCAGUCCACUUGCUAAUGGAAGGCUUAAAUCACUAAUUCUUACUAAUAUUAUUACACGUGCCCAUCCAAUCAUACAUUUUGUCCAAGUCAACCCAAAUAUUCAAUAUCAGCAGUCCCCGUCGGCUCCAUUUAAAAAUCCUCAUCCAUCAGCCUUAACCAGCCACCUCUGCAAAUGCAUGAACCCAACCACACGCCCCACCCCUAUAAAAGCCACUCCUCCACUCUUCACACUCAGUCCUCACUUCAAUCCCUCACUUCAAACACAUAGAUGAGUUCUCUAAAAUGGCAGUGUGAGGGUUUGAACCUAACCAAAAACUUUCACAAAGCUAAAUAACUUUUAUCCCAAUUUAGGUCAAAUUACAGCUAGACAAAGCCAGAUUAGUUAUAUAACUAGGAGUCUAGGAUAAAACAAUUUGCACCGAACUAGCUUCAGUCAUUGUAGUUUUAACAUUUCCCAAAUAAUAUGUAAGAGAAAAACACCAUUCAAGUACUAUCUCACAUAGAAACUUUUACAGAUCUAUAUAGGUGAUAACUUUUACAAGAUUGUCAAAAUCACUGUCCACAGGCAUAACACAGCAAAGUCAAAUUAGCUUAAGGAAUUCAAGUGUAACCAAAAGCAUCUCGAACUUCAAGAUAAAAUGCACAAAUAUAUUUUAGCUUCUAGAACCAUAAUUAGCAACAGGCAAAAUUAAAAAGCAAACUAUUUUUCUCCCAUGUAGAAGACAAGUUGGCUUAAAAUCCAGUAUCAAGCAAUGUACAAACUAUCAUACAUAAUUCACUAUUGAAU
This 2115-nucleotide long non-coding RNA is filed under the name Olea europaea (common olive). RNAcentral's name for it is "long non-coding RNA (OEUR_LNC009811)". Lineage: Eukaryota; Viridiplantae; Streptophyta; Magnoliopsida; Lamiales; Oleaceae. The record is from RNAcentral.